UGUUAUCAUGGGAGUGCGUUUGGCCCCUCUUGCACUCUCUCUCUCUCUCUCUACCCCCCUUGCUUCUGUCAUGUGAUGUCUUCCACCAUGUUAUAGCACAGCAAGAAGGCCCAUGCCAGAUACUGGCACCUUGAUAUUGGAUUUCCCAGCCUCCACAACUAAUCAGGAAGAUGACUAAUUUCCCACAAUAAACAAAUAAACUCAAAAUCUGAAUAUGGCCUUUAGACCUUGGAUGAGCUGAUUUUCCUCAGAAGAUCCAGAUUUUGUGAAGCUGUCCCAUUCAAAGCCACCCCCAGAGGCCCGGAGGAGACCACAAAGCUGCGAACACAGCCGGGA
Gorilla gorilla gorilla (western lowland gorilla) is the source of this 336-nucleotide long non-coding RNA. RefSeq lists it as uncharacterized. The transcript has 3 exons. The record is from RefSeq and is a predicted model, not a curated record. NCBI's taxonomy places the organism in Eukaryota, Metazoa, Chordata, Mammalia, Primates, Hominidae.